Molecule: ribosomal RNA, 336 nt
Filed under: Triticum aestivum (bread wheat)
Lineage: Eukaryota; Viridiplantae; Streptophyta; Magnoliopsida; Poales; Poaceae
Description: partial small subunit ribosomal RNA
Source: RNAcentral
AUGAUUAGUCCAAAUCUAAGUGUGCUUAAUUGGAAUGUUCGUGGUCUGAACUGCCCCAAUAGAAGAACCACUGUGAAUGCCACCAUUGCAGCCUCAACAUGUCACUUGGCUUGCCUCCAGGAAUCAAAACUUGAAGAUGUGGAUGCCUACACUGCAGCUUUUCUUGGCGGAUAUAGACUGAAAGGCUUUGCUCAGCGCCCUGCUGUUGGAACGCGGGGUGGAAUCCUACUUCUUUGGAAUGAAGAUCAUGUCCGCGUUGAAAAUGUCCAAUAUGGCGACUACACCCUCUCAGCCACUGUCACUAUCAUCAGCUCCAGUGUUUCUUUCAAGCUAACC